Gorilla gorilla gorilla (western lowland gorilla) is the source of this 283-nucleotide unclassified non-coding RNA. It matches the Rfam family "Metazoan signal recognition particle RNA". Rfam says of the family: The signal recognition particle (SRP) is a universally conserved ribonucleoprotein. It is involved in the co-translational targeting of proteins to membranes. The eukaryotic SRP consists of a 300-nucleotide 7S RNA and six proteins: SRPs 72, 68, 54, 19, 14, and 9. Lineage: Eukaryota; Metazoa; Chordata; Mammalia; Primates; Hominidae. The record is from Ensembl.
GCCAGGCAUGGUGGCGUGUGCCUGUUAUCUCAGCUACUUGGGAGGCUGAGGCAGGAGGAACACUUGAUCCCAGGAGUUUUGGGCUGUAGUGCGCUAUGCUGGCUGCCCAUGCUAAGUCUGGCAUCAAUAUGGUGAUUUCCUGCAAGUGGGGACCAACUGGUUGCCUCAGGAGGGGUGAACUGGCCCAGGUCAGAAACGGAGCAGGUCAAAACUCCCAUGCUGAAGUGGGAUUGCAUCUGUGAAUAGCCAGUGCAUUCCAGCCUGGGCAACACCUCAUCUCUUA